CAGUCGCCGCGGUAAAACGUAGGGUGCGAGCGUUAAUCGGAAUUACUGGGCGUAAAGCGUGCGCAGGCGGUUAUAUAAGACAGAUGUGAAAUCCCCGGGCUCAACCUGGGACCUGCAUUUGUGACUGUAUGGCUAGAGUACGGUAGAGGGGGAUGGAAUUCCGCGUGUAGCAGUGAAAUGCGUAGAGAUCGGAAGAAACAUCUGUGGCGAAGGCGACUAUCUGGGCCAACACUGACGCUCAGGUGCGAAAGCGUGGGGAGCAAACAGGAUUAGAUACCCCCGUAGUCCCUGUCUCUUAUAC
This 301-nucleotide ribosomal RNA is filed under the name uncultured bacterium. Its description in RNAcentral is "partial 16S ribosomal RNA". It matches the Rfam family "Bacterial small subunit ribosomal RNA", at positions 509 to 807 of the family's 1533-position model. The record is from RNAcentral.